UACAUGUGGGGCAAGCGUUGUUCGGAAUUACUGGGCAUAAAGGGGGCGUAGGCGGUUCGUUAAGUCACUGGUGAAAGUUUUCGGCCCAACCGGAAAAUUGCCUGUGAUACUGGCGAACUUGAGUGCGUGAGGGGUAGGGGGAACGAGCAGUGUAGCGGUGAAAUGCGUAGAUAUUGCUCGGAAGGCCGGAGCCGAAGGGGCCCUACUGGUGCGCAACUGACGCUGAUGCACGAAAGCGUGGGGAGCAAACAGG
RNAcentral lists this ribosomal RNA (253 nucleotides) under uncultured bacterium. RNAcentral's name for it is "partial 16S ribosomal RNA". It matches the Rfam family "Bacterial small subunit ribosomal RNA", at positions 524 to 776 of the family's 1533-position model. The record is from RNAcentral.